CCUACGGGCGGCAGCAGUGGGGAAUAUUGCACAAUGGGCGCAAGCCUGAUGCAGCCAUGCCGCGUGUGUGAAGAAGGCCUUCGGGUUGUAAAGCACUUUCAGCGGGGAGGAAGGCGUUAAGGUUAAUAACCUUGGCGAUUGACGUUACCCGCAGAAGAAGCACCGGCUAACUCCGUGCCAGCAGCCGCGGUAAUACGGAGGGUGCAAGCGUUAAUCGGAAUUACUGGGCGUAAAGCGCACGCAGGCGGUCUGUCAAGUCGGAUGUGAAAUCCCCGGGCUCAACCUGGGAACUGCAUUCGAAACUGGCAGGCUAGAGGCUUGUAGAGGGGGGUAGAAUUCCAGGGGUAGCGGUGAAAUGCGUAGAGAGCUGGAGGAAUACCGGUGGCGAAGGCGGCCCCCUGGACAAAGACUGACGCUCAGGUGCGAAAGCGUGGGGAGCAAACAGGAUUAGAUACCCGUGUAGUC
Molecule: ribosomal RNA, 465 nt
Filed under: uncultured Klebsiella sp.
Lineage: Bacteria; Pseudomonadati; Pseudomonadota; Gammaproteobacteria; Enterobacterales; Enterobacteriaceae
Description: bacterial SSU rRNA
Rfam family: Bacterial small subunit ribosomal RNA
Source: RNAcentral